ACUACGGGGGGCAGCAGUGGGGAAUAUUGCACAAUGGGGGAAACCCUGAUGCAGCGACGCCGCGUGAGUGAAGAAGUAUUUCGGUAUGUAAAGCUCUAUCAGCAGGGAAGAAAUAGCGACCUUUGGGUCGCCAGACGGUACCUGAUUAAGAAGCACCGGCUAACUAGGUGCCAGCAGCCGCGGGAAUACGUAGGGGGCAAGCGUUAUCCGGAUUUACUGGGGGGAAAGGGAGCGUAGACGGCAGCGCAAGUCUGAAGGGAACUGCCGGGGCUUAACCCCGGAACUGCUUUGGAAACUGUGCAGCUAGAGUGCAGGAGAGGUAAGUGGAAUUCCUAGUGUAGCGGUGAAAUGCGUAGAUAUUAGGAGGAACACCAGUGGCGAAGGCGGCUUACUGGACUGUAACUGACGUUGAGGCUCGAAAGCGUGGGGAGCAAACAGGAUUAGAUACCCCAGUAGUC
RNAcentral lists this ribosomal RNA (458 nucleotides) under uncultured bacterium. Its description in RNAcentral is "partial 16S ribosomal RNA". It matches the Rfam family "Bacterial small subunit ribosomal RNA", at positions 338 to 795 of the family's 1533-position model. The record is from RNAcentral.